CGCUGCCACCGUUUUCGAUGACGAAGGUCCACUUUGGUUAUUGUUGUUGGGGCUCACAGUUUUGGCGAAGAAGUCAUUGCCUUUCCACAAGAGUGCGCUCGUUGCCGCGACGUGGUUCUGGGGAGGGUGACUCGGCAGACCGUCCUUGGGGAAGCCGAUCAUGUCCAUGCCGGAGGCCAAGUUGAAGAUCUCCGAGCCGGAGUCGUAACUCGGGAUUUGACUCACCAGAUGGGGCUGAGCCUGGAUCGCCGGGUUGUGAGAAGAAGACAAGUCCGAGUAGCAAAACCCACCGGUGCUUGAGGAC
RNAcentral lists this long non-coding RNA (304 nucleotides) under Eucalyptus grandis. RNAcentral describes it as "long non-coding RNA (EGRA_LNC002434)". The record is from RNAcentral. Lineage: Eukaryota; Viridiplantae; Streptophyta; Magnoliopsida; Myrtales; Myrtaceae.